GACGAACGCUGGCGGCGUGCUUAACACAUGCAAGUCGAACGGGCCUUGUCCCCUUUUUUUUUGGGGGUGGGGUUAGUGGCGAACGGGUGAGUAACACGUGCGUAACCUGCCCCUCACUUCUGGAUAACCGCUUGAAAGGGUGGCUAAUACGGGGUGUUCUGGCCUGCUCGCAUGGGUGGGUUUGGAAAGAUUCGACCGGUUUUGGUUGUUUUGGUGGGGGAUGGGCUCGCGGCCUAUCAGCUCGUGGGUGGGGUGAUGGCCUGCCAAGGCUUGGACGGGUAGCCUGCCUGAGAGGGUGGGCGGGCACACUGGGACUGAGACACGGCCCAGACUCCUACGGGGGGCAGCAGUGGGGAAUAGUGCACAAGGGGCGAAAGCCUGAUGCAGCGACGCCGCGUGAGGGAUGGAGGCCUUCGGGGUGUGAACCUCUUUCGCCAGUGAAGAAGGUCCUGCUCUUUGUGGUGGGGUUGACGGGGGCUGGGUUAAUGAAGCGCCGGCUAACUACGUG
This 508-nucleotide ribosomal RNA is filed under the name uncultured bacterium. RNAcentral's name for it is "partial 16S ribosomal RNA". It matches the Rfam family "Bacterial small subunit ribosomal RNA", at positions 28 to 507 of the family's 1533-position model. The record is from RNAcentral.